Molecule: ribosomal RNA, 405 nt
Filed under: uncultured bacterium
Lineage: Bacteria
Description: bacterial SSU rRNA
Rfam family: Bacterial small subunit ribosomal RNA
Source: RNAcentral
GAUGAACGCUGGCGAGAUGCUUUACACAUGCAAGUCGUACGAAAGUUUUUAACUUAAGUGGCGGACGGGUGAGUAACACGUAAGAAUUUACCUUUAGGAGGGGGAUAACAACUGGAAACGGUUGCUAAUACCCCAUAUGCUUUCGAGUGAAAUGGAUUUUUCCGCCUAGAGAGAAGCUUGCGGCUGAUUAGCUUGUUGGUGAGGUAAUGGCUCACCAAGGCGACGAUCAGUAUCUGGUUUGAGAGGACGAUCAGACACACUGGAACUGAGACACGGUCCAGACUCCUACGGGAGGCAGCAGUGGGGAAUCUUAGACAAUGGGGCAACCCUGAUCUAGCCAUGCCGCGUGAGUGACGAAGGCCCUAGGGUCGUAAAGCUCUUUCGCCGGAGAUAAUGACGUACGGU